CCCAGGAAGAGGAGGUUCCCAUGCAGCAGCCAGGGGCCCAGGGAGUCAGGUCGGGGCCCAGCUGCCCCGCCUGAGCCGCCAUGUCCCCCAGUUACCACCAUGAAAUGUGGGGCCCACCGCAUCGCCUACAUGUUCCUGGCGGAGGUGGCCUUGGGCAGGGAGCACCACAUCACAGCUGACGACCACAGCUUGAAGCAGGCCCCCCCUGGCUUCGACAGCGUCGUCGCCCGAGGCCGCACGGAGCCUGAUCCCACCCAGGACACGGAGCUGGAGCUGGACGGCCGGCGAGUGGCAGUGCCCCAGGGCCGGCCCACGCCCUGCCCCGAGUUCAGCAAUUCCUCCUUCUCCCAGAGCGAGUACCUCAUCUACCAGGAGAGCCAGUGCCGCCUGCGGUACCUACUGGAGGUGGGCUUCUGAGAGCCGCCCUCAGCCCGGCUCUCCGAUAGACUGCCGUCUCAGUCUUCGCCCAGACCCAGCGCCCAUGUCACCGCUUCUCGCUCCCAAAUCUCCCUUCUGUGUCCCAGGCAGUGGUCCCGCCCCCUCCAAUCCCCACUAGCCCUGGCCUGGCUGUGGCCCUGAGUCUCGCCUGCUAAGGUGACAGGAGUGAGGGACUGGCGUUAUCCCAGGGUCACAUGCCACAGCCUCUUCAGGGCUGUGUAGAGGGGCACAAAGGUAGAAAUAGAGAAAUAAGUGGUAGAUGUAGAGAAAUAAGUGGUAGAAAUAGAGAAAUAAGUGGUACAUAUAGAGAAAUUAGUGGUAGAAAUAGAGAAAUAAGCAGUAUUUCUGCUUAAGGAGGUAGAAAAUAAAAUAGAAAAUAGGAGAUACAAAAUAAGGUAGAAAUCUCCUAGGUUUUGUUUAAGCCACUGUAAAGCCAAAGAUGGCUGUGGUUGAUGUUGUUUGAGGAAGUAAUUUUUAUUUCUGACCUAGAUUGUAAGCUCUUGCGGCAGUUGCAUUGUUUCUGGGCUCUGGUUAUUUUUGCUUGUGUGACCUGAUAGCUCGCUGGGACUUUGGGUCUGUGUGAGACGCCAGACUCCGAGUUGGAGGUCUCCAGCUCUGCAGGACCGAGGGCUGCUCAUUUCCAUGCAGCAGCGGCUAAAGAAAGAAGCUGAGAAGGGACCAGACUUCCACCGGCGCAGAUGGGGCUGAUUUGACUGGGACUGGUGCUGGCUCGGUCCCAGGGCCAACUGUCCAAACAGCCUGAUCCAGGGGACUAGUUUUGCAUCUACGACAUCUUCGCAUUGGCGGCAUUUUACUACGCAAGUGACCGGAGGUAUCAACAUGGAAUCAGCUGAAGAUGGCAACUGAGGCCAAGCGGAUGUUAGAAAAGCAAGAAGUGGAAGCUAUGCUAACAUUGGUGAACUGCCAGUUUUCUGAAAAAUCUUGUGGAGCUAAAUCUAAGGACUCCAAGUAAGAUAUCCUGAAAAUGUUAACAUGUCUGAAGUUUGGUUUUGCAUUGGCA
Molecule: RNA transcript, 1459 nt
Organism: Myotis daubentonii (Daubenton's bat)
Lineage: Eukaryota; Metazoa; Chordata; Mammalia; Chiroptera; Vespertilionidae
Gene name: protein mono-ADP-ribosyltransferase PARP3-like
Exons: 3
Source: RefSeq, a predicted model, not a curated record